AUGGUGGGGUAUUGCGAUGCUGGAUAUUUAUCAGAUCCCCAUGAUGUCAGAUCGCAGACUGGUUUUGUCUUCUUACAUGGAGGUACGGCCUUCUCUUGGAAGUCAACAAAGCAAAUCUUAGUGGCAACGUCCACCAAUCAUUCUGAGAUAAUUGCUUUGUUCGAAGCAUCACGUGAAUGUGUAUGGCUUCACAGAAUGAUGAACUUUGUCCAAAGUUCAAGUGGGAUUGGUUCGUUGAAAUCACCCACCAUUAUCUAUGAAGAUAAUGCUACUUGUAUUGCACAAAUGCAAACGGGUUAUAUUAAGAGCAAUAUUACAAAGCAUAUUUCUCCUAAAUUAUUUUAUCCCCAUGAUCUGCAAGAAAAGGGGGAGAUAAGUAUUUUGCAAACAAAGUCAUGCGACAAUCUCGCCGAUCUGUUUACAAAAUCCUUACCAAGUUCUCUGUUCGUAUGA
Molecule: ribosomal RNA, 453 nt
Filed under: Triticum aestivum (bread wheat)
Lineage: Eukaryota; Viridiplantae; Streptophyta; Magnoliopsida; Poales; Poaceae
Description: partial small subunit ribosomal RNA
Source: RNAcentral